Molecule: ribosomal RNA, 445 nt
Filed under: uncultured bacterium
Lineage: Bacteria
Description: partial 16S ribosomal RNA
Rfam family: Bacterial small subunit ribosomal RNA
Source: RNAcentral
GUGAGGAAUAUUGGUCAAUGGGCGAGAGCCUGAACCAGCCAAGUCGCGUGAAGGAAGAAGGAUCUAUGGUUCGUAAACUUCUUUUGCAGGGGAAUAAAGUGCAGGACGUGUCCUGUUUUGUAUGUACCCUGAGAAUAAGGAUCGGCUAACUCCGUGCCAGCAGCCGCGGUAAUACGGAGGAUCCGAGCGUUAUCCGGAUUUAUUGGGUUUAAAGGGUGCGUAGGUGGUUUGAUAAGUCAGCGGUGAAAGUUUGCAGCUUAACUGCAAAAAUGCCGUUGAAACUGUCGGACUUGAGUGUAAAUGAGGUAGGCGGAAUGCGUGGUGUAGCGGUGAAAUGCAUAGAUAUCACGCAGAACUCCGAUUGCGAAGGCAGCUUACUAAGCUACAACUGACACUGAAGCACGAAAGCGUGGGGAUCAAACAGGAUUAGAAACCCCAGUAGUCC